Molecule: RNA transcript, 2201 nt
Organism: Fragaria vesca subsp. vesca
Lineage: Eukaryota; Viridiplantae; Streptophyta; Magnoliopsida; Rosales; Rosaceae
Gene name: MACPF domain-containing protein At4g24290-like
Exons: 7
Source: RefSeq, a predicted model, not a curated record
CUCCUUUUACCUAAUCACAAUAUACAAAUCCCACCAAUAAAUGGAUGAAAUUGACCCGUCUCCAUAGACUAGUCUGCCUCCUUGUUUUCUCUUCCAACCUCCCUCCAUGGAAAACUGAGGAAACAACUCAUCAUCAUAGUCAGAGAGAAAGCUAGAGAGAGAAAAACAGAGAGCAUGAGUACCCGGAAAGCUGCAUCCGAGGCGGAGGCCGCGAUAAAAUCCAUCGGAUUGGGCUACGAUCUCACCGUUGACUUGAAGCUCAAGUACUGCAAGCGCCAGUCUUCCGGUGUUGACUCCCGCUUGAUCACCAUCGACGACGAUCAACUCCGUGAUAUCUCCAUUCCCGGCGGUAUUUGCAUUCCCAAUGUCCCCAAGUCCAUCAAAUGCGAUAAGGGCGAGCGCAUGCGUUUCGGCUCCGACGUCCUCUCUUUUCAACAGAUGUCGGAGCAGUUUAACCAGGAAUUGGCCCUUUCGGGUAAGAUUCCAACCGGACAUUUCAACACUGCGUUUGAGUUUACCGGGGGAUGGCAGAAGGAUGCCGCCAACACAAAGACUCUUGCUUUCGACGGUGUUUCCAUCACCCUUUACAGCGUUGCCCUCGAAAAAUCUCAGGUUGCAUUGCGUGAUGAUGUCAAACAAGCUGUUCCUUCAUCCUGGGAUCCUGCAGCAUUGGCAAGGUUUAUUGACAAGUAUGGAACGCAUGUUAUAGUUGGGGUGAAAAUGGGGGAAAAGAUACGAUCUAUGCCAAGCAGAUGCACUCAUCACCUGUCCAACCUGCUGAUGUGCAGAAAAAAUUGAAGGACAUGGCCGACAAGCUGUAUAUAGAUGGAACUGGAACGGGUCACGAUAGAGACAAGUUCGCCAAGGAUCAUGGGCAGGGUAUUAUGGACGCGAUUCCAUCCAGUUCUUACGCAUCUGCUGAGUCACAGGAUAUUAAAUUUGUGUGCAAGAGAAAGGGUGGAAGCUUACAAAAGAAUCUACGCCACAGUGAGUGGUCUCAAACAGUUCAGCUUGAACCUGAUGUGAUCUCAAUGUCAUUGGUUCCUAUCACAUCGUUACUUAGUGGAAUUCAUGGGAGUGGAUUUUUGAGCCAUGCCAUUAACCUCUAUCUUCGUUACAAACCGCCAAUUGAAGAACUGCAUCAAUUUUUAGAUUUUCAACUUCCAAGGCAAUGGGCACCAGUGUUUGGUGAGCUUGCUCUUGGUCCUCAGAAGAAGCCACAAAGUAGUGCAUCUUUACAGUUUAGCUUCAUGGGCCCUAAGCUUUACGUUAACACAAAUCUGGUUGAUGUGGGAAAGAAACCAGUGACGGGUCUCCGACUGUAUUUGGAGGGAAAAAGGAGCAAUUGCUUAGCAAUCCACCUGCAGCAUCUUUCAUCGCUUCCAAAGACUUUCCAACUCCAGGAUCAAGUGAAUGAAAAUAUCUCUCGCCCCUCAUCUGACCGCAGAUAUUUUGAAAAGGUUCAGUGGAAGAGCUUCUCUCAUGUCUGCACAGCUCCUAUUGAGGCUGAUGAUUUCAAUGUUGUCACUGGGGCUCACUUCGAAAUUGGAGAGUCGGGGAUGAAAAAAGUAUUGUUUUUACGGCUUCAUUUCUCUAAAGUUAUGGGUGCAACCAAUGUUAGACAAUCUGAAUGGGACGGUUCACCAGCCUUGACACAGAAAUCAGGUAUUAUUUCAACCAUGAUCAGCACUCGGUUCUCGUCUGCUGCUCAAAAACAGCCCCCUAAUCCUGCCGAUGUGAACAUAAAUUCGGCUGUGUAUCCUGGAGGACCCCCGGUACCCACACAGACACCUAAACUACUGAGGUUCGUCGACACAACAGAAAUGACUAGAGGACCACAGGAUUCACCUGGGUAUUGGGUUGUGUCGGGUGCAAGGCUGCUCGUUGAGAAGGCUAAAAUUUCUUUACGAGUUAAGUAUUCUCUCCUGACCAUGAUUUUACCUGACGAAGAAGAGAUGCAAGAUGGCUACUGAAAUGCGAUGGUUAAGAAAAUAGAACAAGAGAUUUUGUAGUAGAACAGAGUUGCAAUGGGUUUGUGGGGCAUCUUCAGUGUUCAUAUUCUCAUCACAGACACUUUCUGCUGGAAUAUUUCGUCAGGGGUUGGUUGUAUAUAACUUUUGCAUACGCUUCUAUGUAAAUUUUUUUCUUUAUUUAUUGUAGAUUAUCCUUUCUGGUGCUGAUUUUAAAUAUUUGAAUUGGAC